CUUAGAUAUGUCCCAGCAGUAGGAGGGUCUAGGCUCAAACCCGUACGUAAACAAUUUUCACUGAGUGCUAAGAGAAGCCGGGAAUUUUCCCUGUGAAUGCCAUCCUUCCCUUCCUACUCAAAAAGCACCCAGGAUGUACAGCGCUUCCCAACUUCCAGGUCGCUGCUUCCAUCCCCAGAAGCCGAACAGCCGGAGCGGGAAGAUGUGAGGGUCAGGGCGGCAGACCACUGCCUUUCUUUUAUUUGAAUGAUGGCCAGACUUAGAAUGGAUAAACUACCACAAGACAAAAUUUUCUUGGAGUAUUUUGCUGCUAUUAACUUCUGAAAAUAGCAAGAGAAACCUUGUUUGCAUGAAGCUGGUGUCAGAUGAAGACUGACUGAAUCCUCAAGGUACCACCUGCAAUCACCUGCACUGUGUGACGCUGGGCGAGUUACCCAAAUGACAUACACGUAAAGAUCUGUUAAUCAGAGAGUAGAUUGGAAAAAUACUCAGAUAACUCAAAGGCUGUGGCAGCUCUACAGAACAGCUCAGGUCUCUGCUGUUCCCCUCCCACAGCUCUCCCUCUUGCCUGGGUGAUACUACAUUUUUCCAGUCUCACCCACCACAUGCCAACUGGAUUUCUUUGGAAUCAUGUCUCAAGCUUGUUCUUUUGCUUUUUAACAUCUCUAAACCCUUUUCUUAAAAAAAAAAAAAAAAAAAAAAAAAUGUCCUCCAAGCCUCUCUGCCCUUACAUCAGUUAGUGUAACAUUCAGCUUCAGCAGCUGCCCUCAAGAACACUUCCAUUCACUCCACAAUCAUACUGGUCCUUUGUUUACAUAAUUUACAGGCUUCUUGCCUUCUCUUCUUUAUUCCUAUUACCUUUCCACAUCUCCUCUUACCUCACUGAACCAAUAACCUCCCUGCUGUACAGCCAACCCAGAACCUUUGCUUCAUCAGACUCUAUAAUAAUCUCUUCAGCUUCUUCCCUAAGCGCAGACUCACGCUCUCCCCAGCUUGCUUCUGAGCCUGGGAAAACCUUCCUGAUAAAAUCUCAGCAGCCACUCCUUUCUCCUCCUUCAAAACUAUCUGUACAACUCACCUCUGUCAAAAAAAACCUACUAAACGCAGCCUUGGCUAUGACUGGGCAACUGAGGAACUAAGAUUUUCUUUCUUCCUUUCGUUGCUCCCUGCCCCUGCUCUCAGCAGAGCAUUAUUACAAAUUACCCUACCAAAGAAUGGUCCUUGUCUUAUAUACAUAUAUAUAUAUAUAUAUACACACACACACACACACAUAUAUAUGUAUACACACUUUUAGUUGUAUUCUUCAUCCUCAUGGUUAUUAGUGCCUGCAGAACCCUCAGGGCAGGGAUUGCCUUUUUUUCCUGCUUUUGCGAAGCACCUCACAGAACUGUGGCUCAAUUCCCUGCACAUGGUCCCAAAAUACAAACACGCCUGCAUGACAGCCUGUUCCCUGGAGCAGAGGUACGGCAGAGCUGGGAACCACCAGUCAGCUGCAGUUGUCGCUGGCACAGAAUGGGAAGGCAAAGAGAUCAGGCUAAUUGGACAAGAGUGAAAUAAGAGAGCACAGAGCUUUGAAACUGCUGAUUUUGUAUGUGGGAGCAAGUGACCACCAGCACUUUCAGAAGCUCCCACAUUUCUGUGCUCCAGCCCAUUACAAAGCUUUCAGACAGAAGUGUCCCAAUUUCCAUUUACUUAAAGCAAACUUUAUUUUAAAAAAAAAAAAAAAAAACCAAAAACAACCCAGUGCUUUCAGCCUUCUUGUCUAAACCAAACCCAUAUUACAACAGCUAAAAUGUCAGAGCUAAUUAAGAAGAGGAAGCUGUGUAUGAACCAGCCAAGACGUGCAUCUGCCACCGAAGAGCGAGCGCCCGUUUUCUGCAGCCCUCGCCAGGAGCCGGCGCACAGCGAGUCUUCCCCGAGAAGCAGAUAGCUGGCAAUUUGGUCAACCCUGAAUUACAUUCUGGAGUGCUAACUUCCCUUGUGGUUGCAAAAAAACGAGGCUUUAAAAAUAUGAUUUUAAAUGAUGCCCGGGGGUAUAUUUAAAGAAUAGCCAGCCAGAUUCCAUCCUGCCUUCCAGAGCACCAUCGGGCUCCAGUGGGGUGGCACAGUAGAUAAGAGAGCAUGGUGUUUGGCUAAUUGGUUUUAACCAUCAUUAUGUAAUAUUGAUGUCAUAUCGAAUACACAUAUAUAUUCUGGCAUAGCAACCGAAAUUACACUGAUUUAUUAAGUUGAUAGUCUGCACUGGUGCCAAGCUACCAAGUAAUAGAUCAGCUGCCUGGGCUGAACUUCAACGUGUAAUUUCCAGCGCAAUUUGACUGAUCAGCAAUACCAUAAUUGGUUGCAAACGUCCUUCCUUCUAUUUGUUUUGUUAAGUGGCUUUUUCAUUAACACAGCAGAGCCAAGUAAAUAAAUAUCACUUUACUAUUGGACUGAAAGCAGAGAAUAGUUGAGAACUGGACACAGACUGGGACAAGACUGUGUGAUACUGUCAAGCCAGCACUUUUUUUUUAAUACAUUCUCUUGUUUACUGCCUGUAGGACUCUGCUGCUUCAGAAGAGAUAUCCUUUUAGCAAAAGGGACUUGGCCGAUGCUCUGCUCAGUAAAAUGCAAAUAUAUUGAAUUUAUGCCUCCAAAUGCCUUAAGUCAAUAGGUUUAUUAUUAGGCCAAGUCUUGAUAUCUCUGCUUAGAGUAUGGUCCUCAGGUGUCCCUGCUAAGAGAGGACACCCAGUCAUGUCUCUGGGAACAGGCUCUCUGCUCUGUAGGGCAGCACUCAGUCAUCUGAAGGAGCUGGCAAACUCAGAACUGGGCACAGUCUCUUUAAGGGAGGUGGCACCUCCCUCCUCUGACCCACUCUAACACCGAAGCCUAAGCUGAACCAGGUGGUGGGUCCCAUCCCCAGAGCCUCACCCCUGUUCAGAUCUGCUUCUGCAGCACACUCACAGCUCUGCACUCAUACGGGACCACAUGGAGCUUUGCUAUUUUAAAGACCGAGAAGUCUCAGAUAUGGUCUGAGGCCAAGUUGAAUCAUAGAAUUAUUUUGGUUGGAAGAGACCCUCAAGGUCAUCAAGUCCAACCAUUAACCCAACACUGCCUGGUCUAUUGCUAAACCAUGUCCUUGAGAACUUCAUCUCCACAACUUCUAAACCCCUCCAGAGAUGGUGACUCUACCAUUGCCCUGGGCAGCCUGUUCUAAUGCCCAAGAACCCUUUCCAGGAAGAAACAUUUCCCAAUAUCCAAUCUAAACCUCCCCCAGUGCAACUUGAGACCAUUUCCUCUCAUCCUGAUGCUUGUUCCUUGGGAGCAGAGCCCAGCCUCCCUGGCUCCAACCUCCUUUCAGGCAGUUCAGAGAUCAGAAGGUCUCCCCUCAGCUCCUGUUCUCCAGGCUGAACCCCCAGGUCCCUCAGCCGCUCCCAUCACACUCGUGCUCCAGACCCUUCACCACCAAGUUGCAAAGUUCCUGAAAAUACUGACUCAAGCACUGGAUUUGUCAGCAAGUGCAAUUAUUAGAACAGGAGAAGGGCAGAAGCUGCUGCUGUGACACCAACUACCCCACAAAAUAGCUCUGGACAUCACUGGAUAAUCACGUGACAUUUCUGAUUUUCAAUAGAUAUAUAAAACAUUGGGGUUUGGGUGUAUGAUUUUAAUGCUUUUUAAUGCUCUUUCCAUCUCUUAUUUUGCCCUAUUCUAUCGAUGCCAGCCCAUUUCUGGCUCUAUUCUAAACAUUUGUAAUCGUGUUAGGCUGGAGAAUGAAUAGUGGUUAUCUGGUGCAUUCAGAGCAAUGAAACAUCAUCACAGACCUUUCACACUGAGUCGCCAUGACACGUUAUAGGAACAAAGACAAUAAAAAUAUCAUGUAAAAAAAGAAGAAAGGCAUUGAGUCAGGAGAAAAGAACUAAUCCAUUAUUUUUAACUAUUUUCUUCAGUUUAGGACUUCAUACCUUUGAUACUUGUCAUCCACUGGACUCUGCCAAAUAGAGACAUUGUUUUUCUUCUGUUAGCUCCCCAAAAAUACCCAACGAUGGCUUAUUUCAAUGUGAAUAAAAUUAAAGACUAAGCUACUUAAACAA
Long non-coding RNA from Columba livia (rock pigeon), 4067 nucleotides. RefSeq lists it as uncharacterized. Lineage: Eukaryota; Metazoa; Chordata; Aves; Columbiformes; Columbidae. The record is from RefSeq and is a predicted model, not a curated record. The transcript is spliced from 3 exons.